This 403-nucleotide ribosomal RNA is filed under the name Verrucomicrobiota bacterium. RNAcentral describes it as "Verrucomicrobia bacterium partial 16S ribosomal RNA". It matches the Rfam family "Bacterial small subunit ribosomal RNA", at positions 355 to 776 of the family's 1533-position model. The record is from RNAcentral. Lineage: Bacteria; Pseudomonadati; Verrucomicrobiota.
UGGGGAAUAUUGCACAAUGGGGGAAACCCUGAUGCAGCGACGCCGCGUGAGCGAAGAAGGUUUUCGAAUCGUAAAGCUCUGUCCUAUGAGAAGAUAAUGACGGUAUCAUAGGAGGAAGCCCCGGCUAAAUACGUGCCAGCAGCCGCGGUAAUACGUAUGGGGCGAGCGUUGUCCGGAAUUAUUGGGCGUAAAGGGUACGUAGGCGGUCUAUUAAGUCAGGUGUGAAAGCGUGAGGCUUAACCUCAUUAAGCACUUGAAACUGAUAGACUUGAGUGAAGGAGAGGAAAGUGGAAUUCCGAGUGUAGCGGUGAAAUGCGUAGAUAUUAGGAGGAAUACCGGUGGCGGAGGCGACUUUCUAGACUUUUACUAACGCUCAGGUACGAAAGCGUGGGGAGCAAACAGG